RNAcentral lists this long non-coding RNA (869 nucleotides) under Equus caballus (horse). Its description in RNAcentral is "lncRNA (ENSECAG00000054352.1)". Lineage: Eukaryota; Metazoa; Chordata; Mammalia; Perissodactyla; Equidae. The record is from RNAcentral.
GCCGUUAGCGGCGCUGUUAUCUGCCUCCUCCGCCAAGGAGAACAAAUGCACGCCCCGCGGUCCCCCAGCCCCAUUGUCAUUCAAAGAGCCUGCGCUCCUGCGCUCCUGCGCUCCGCAGCCCGCGAAACUGCCUCCCAGGCUCCCGGCUGCAGAGGGAUUCAGCGAGACUGCGGGGGAGGAGACAAUGCGCAGGAGGAGGGGCUUGGGAGUUUCUAGAGACCCCUGCGGUGGCAAUAGGGCCCAGGAAGACCCACCCCCCCCAACUCUCAUUGUCUGACUCAGUGACUCAGCUGGGGGCUGGGGCUGGAAGCUGGAGCGGAGUGCGGGUGUCUGUCUUGAGUUUGCACCUUCUGGAAUCUGGAAGAAACUCCGCGGUUCUCCUGGGCCAGUUGAGGGGCCUCCUUCAACCACCUAGCUAACUGUGCCCCAAGCCUGCCGUGCCUGCAUCCAGGCCAAGGAGGAGGGCUUCAGGGGCUCAGAGGAUGCAUCCCCAAACCCUUGGAAUGGCUUUGGAUGAACCACAUUCUGAGAUCCUGGGGCUCACCAGAGACUAUCCCCACCCCACCAGGAGGAGGCGUUCUGUCCAGGUUUGGCGAGAUGAAGACGUUUCCUAGUAGAAAACUAAAGGGCUGCCUCUGGGAAUGAAUGCCUCAUACCCCAAACCUGAGUAUCUCUACCUGCUCCUUCAGUGCCGCCAACGGGUCCCUCCAGUGGCAGUGGUGACCAGUGGCUGGGGAGGCCCAGCUGAGUCAACGUUUGCUGGCCAGUUGCAGGACGAAUGAUGAACAGGUCCGCGUGGAUGGAGAAGUCCGACACAAAGCUGUGCUAAUUCUUCAUAAGCUCUGCCUGCCGCCUUUUAUAUAUCAACC